CCUACGGGAGGCUGCAGUAGGGAAUAUUGCACAAUGGGCGCAAGCCUGAUGCAGCCAUGCCGCGUGUGUGAAGAAGGCCUUCGGGUUGUAAAGCACUUUCAGCGGGGAGGAAGGCGGUGAGGUUAAUAACCUCAUCGAUUGACGUUACCCGCAGAAGAAGCACCGGCUAACUCCGUGCCAGCAGCCGCGGUAAUACGGAGGGUGCAAGCGUUAAUCGGAAUUACUGGGCGUAAAGCGCACGCAGGCGGUCUGUCAAGUCGGAUGUGAAAUCCCCGGGCUCAACCUGGGAACUGCAUUCGAAACUGGCAGGCUAGAGUCUUGUAGAGGGGGGUAGAAUUCCAGGUGUAGCGGUGAAACGCGUAGAGAUCUGGAGGAAUACCGGUGGCGAAGGCGGCCCCCUGGACAAAGACUGACGCUCAGGUGCGAAAGCGUGGGGAGCAAACAGGAUUAGAUACCCGAGUAGUC
Molecule: ribosomal RNA, 465 nt
Filed under: uncultured Klebsiella sp.
Lineage: Bacteria; Pseudomonadati; Pseudomonadota; Gammaproteobacteria; Enterobacterales; Enterobacteriaceae
Description: bacterial SSU rRNA
Rfam family: Bacterial small subunit ribosomal RNA
Source: RNAcentral